Molecule: ribosomal RNA, 500 nt
Filed under: uncultured bacterium
Lineage: Bacteria
Description: partial 16S ribosomal RNA
Rfam family: Bacterial small subunit ribosomal RNA
Source: RNAcentral
AUUGAACGCUGGCGGAAUGCUUUACACAUGCAAGUCGAGCGGCAGCGCGGGGGCAACCCUGGCGGCGAGCGGCGAACGGGUGAGUAACAUAUCGGAACGUACCCCGUCGUGGGGGAUAACACAGCGAAAGCUGUGCUAAUCCCGCAUACGACCUGAGGGUGAAAGCGGGGGACCGCAAGGCCUCGCGCGAUGGGAGCGGCCGAUAUCGGAUUAGCUUGUUGGCGAGGUAAAGGCUCACCAAGGCGACGAUCCGUAGCUGGUCUGAGAGGACGACCAGCCACACUGGAACUGAGACACGGUCCAGACUCCUACGGGAGGCAGCAGUGGGGAAUUUUGGACAAUGGGGGCAACCCUGAUCCAGCCAUUCCGCGUGAGUGAAGAAGGCCUUCGGGUUGUAAAGCUCUUUCGGCAGGAACGAAACGGCGCGCUCUAACAUAGCGUGUCAAUGACGGUACCUGAAGAAGAAGCACCGGCUAACUACGUGCCAGCCGCCGCCGUAA